AUUGAACGCUGGCGGCAGGCCUAACACAUGCAAGUCGAGCGGAUAAAGGGAGCUUGCUCCUGAAUUCAGCGGCGGACGGGUGAGUAAUGCCUAGGAAUCUGCCUGGUAGUGGGGGAUAACGUCCGGAAACGGGCGCUAAUACCGCAUACGUCCUGAGGGAGAAAGUGGGGGAGCUUCGGACCUCACGCUAUCAGAUGAGCCUAGGUCGGAUUAGCUAGUUGGUGGGGUAAAGGCCUACCAAGGCGACGAUCCGUAACUGGUCUGAGAGGAUGAUCAGUCACACUGGAACUGAGACACGGUCCAGACUCCUACGGGAGGCAGCAGUGGGGAAUAUUGGACAAUGGGCGAAAGCCUGAUCCAGCAAUGCCGCGUGUGUGAAGAAGGUCUUCGGAUUGUAAAGCACUUUAAGUUGGGAGGAAGGGCAGUAAGUUAAUACCUUGCUGUUUUGACGUUACCAACAGAAUAAGCACCGGCUAACUUCGUG
This 484-nucleotide ribosomal RNA is filed under the name uncultured bacterium. RNAcentral's name for it is "partial 16S ribosomal RNA". It matches the Rfam family "Bacterial small subunit ribosomal RNA", at positions 30 to 507 of the family's 1533-position model. The record is from RNAcentral.